AAUCCUGGAGAUGGGAGAUGUGGAGCAGGUAAGUUUGUGGCAGCACCAGAGUCCUCCAACAAGUCUUCUGGCAAAGUAAAUGAGGAAGGAUCGGAGUCUGCCAUCGUGGAGUUUUGCUGAAAGGCCUGAACACGUUCCAUCCAUGCAUCCAUCUUCUUCCAUUCAUCCAGAACCAGGUUGUGAGGGCAGCAGUCUAAGCAAAGAUGCCCAGACUUCCCUCUCCUCCAGCUCCUCUUGGGGGACCCCGGGGCCAGCGUGUCCUGGGUCUCCCUUAGGGCCUCUGCCCUUAUUCCUGUUGGAGUUUUUUUCUAACCCCUUAUGUUUCAAAAGUUUGCAAACAUACAUUUUGGUUGAAAUGAUGAGGAUCCGAGGAUGAAAUCAAGAAGGGACAACAUCAGGGAAAGGGACUGAACCGACUGAACAGCUUCCUCUCUUCACCAGACACAUGUUCCCAGUACAUAUGUGUCAAAAACUGACAUCCUCGCCGUUCAGGCCGGUGGCUGGAACAAGCGGAAGUCA
Non-coding RNA from Oryzias latipes (Japanese medaka), 519 nucleotides. The record is from RefSeq and is a predicted model, not a curated record. NCBI's taxonomy places the organism in Eukaryota, Metazoa, Chordata, Actinopteri, Beloniformes, Adrianichthyidae.